RNAcentral lists this ribosomal RNA (264 nucleotides) under Bradyrhizobium sp. Its description in RNAcentral is "partial 16S ribosomal RNA". It matches the Rfam family "Bacterial small subunit ribosomal RNA", at positions 46 to 334 of the family's 1533-position model. The record is from RNAcentral. Lineage: Bacteria; Pseudomonadati; Pseudomonadota; Alphaproteobacteria; Hyphomicrobiales; Nitrobacteraceae.
AGGCUUAACACAUGCAAGUCGAGCGGGCGUAGCAAUACGUCAGCGGCAGACGGGUGAGUAACGCGUGGGAACGUACCUUUUGGUUCGGAACAACCCAGGGAAACUUGGGCUAAUACCGGAUAAGCCCUUACGGGGAAAGAUUUAUCGCCGAAAGAUCGGCCCGCGUCUGAUUAGCUAGUUGGUAGGGUAAUGGCCUACCAAGGCGACGAUCAGUAGCUGGUCUGAGAGGAUGAUCAGCCACAUUGGGACUGAGACACGGCCCAA